Molecule: ribosomal RNA, 483 nt
Filed under: uncultured bacterium
Lineage: Bacteria
Description: partial 16S ribosomal RNA
Rfam family: Bacterial small subunit ribosomal RNA
Source: RNAcentral
GACGAACGCUGGCGGUGUGCUUAACACAUGCAAGUCGAACGCUGAAGCUCUGCUUUUGUUGGGUGGAUGAGUGGCGAACGGGUGAGUAACACGUGAGUAACCUGCUCCCUUUUUUGGGAUAACGCCCGGAAACGGGUGCUAAUACUGGAUAUUCACUGGUCUUCGGUUGGGGGUGGGUGGAAAGGGUUUUUCUGGUGGGGGAUGGGCUCGCAGCCUAUUAGCUUGUUGGUGGGGUGAUGGCCUAACAAGGCUUUGACGGGUAGCCGGCCUGAGCGGGUGACCAGUCACAUUGGGACGGGGAAAAGACCCAGACUCCGACGGGAGGCGGCAGAGGGGAAAAUUGCCGAAUGCAUGGAAGCAUGAUGCAGCGGCGCCGCGUGAGGGAUUGGGGCCUUCGGGUUGUGAUCCUCGGACGCUCAGGGACAGGCCUAAACAAUGGUUGUGGUGAGGGUAGUGAGUAAAGAAGCGCCGGCUAACUACGUG